Neonectria magnoliae is the source of this 114-nucleotide non-coding RNA. NCBI's taxonomy places the organism in Eukaryota, Fungi, Ascomycota, Sordariomycetes, Hypocreales, Nectriaceae. The record is from the annotation of a GenBank genome assembly.
GACAAGGUGGCCGAGCGGUCUAAAGCGCAAUGUUCAAGAAAAUUGAAUUCUUUUCUAUCACAAAUGGAAACCAUUAUAUCGAAAGAUGCCAGGGUUCGAGUCCCUGCCUCAUCG